RNAcentral lists this transfer RNA (74 nucleotides) under Lignipirellula cremea. Its description in RNAcentral is "Planctomycetes bacterium Pla85_3_4 tRNA-Ile". It matches the Rfam family "tRNA". From Rfam's summary of the family: Transfer RNA (tRNA) molecules are approximately 80 nucleotides in length. The record is from RNAcentral. Lineage: Bacteria; Pseudomonadati; Planctomycetota; Planctomycetia; Pirellulales; Pirellulaceae.
UGGCGCGUAGCUCAGCGGUAAGAGCGGUGUCCUUAUAAGACGUGAGCCGUGGGUUCGACUCCCGCCGCGCCGAC